AUACGAAGGAUGCAAGCGUUAAUCGGAAUCACUGGGCGUAAAGCGCACGUAGGCGGCGAGAUAAGUCGGGCGUGAAAGCCCUCGGCCCAACCGAGGAAUUGCGUUCGAUACUGUUUGGCUUGAGUCCUGGAGAGGGUGGCGGAAUUCCGGGUGUAGGAGUGAAAUCCGUAGAUAUCCGGAGGAACACCGGUGGCGAAGGCGGCCACCUGGACAGGUACUGACGCUGAGGUGCGAAAGCGU
Molecule: ribosomal RNA, 240 nt
Filed under: uncultured bacterium
Lineage: Bacteria
Description: partial 16S ribosomal RNA
Rfam family: Bacterial small subunit ribosomal RNA
Source: RNAcentral